Molecule: non-coding RNA, 22 nt
Filed under: Arabidopsis thaliana (thale cress)
Lineage: Eukaryota; Viridiplantae; Streptophyta; Magnoliopsida; Brassicales; Brassicaceae
Source: RNAcentral
UGACCAUUUGACACUUCUAGAU